UUGUUCAAAUCAUUCUGCAGGUCUAGGGAUAAGGAGAUAUGAAUAUUUAUUUAGCAAAUACAGUCAGUAAAGAUAGGCACUGCAUCAUUCAGGCUAGAGGAACACACAGCUAUAAUGGAAGGUAUUUAGCUGUUCAUUCCAACUUUUCUUAGUUGCCUCCUCUUCUCUUCUCUUCUUCUCCCUACCUCAAACAUAGCUGUUUAUUUGGUUGCAUUGAUGAACUCAUAGUUAUGUGUGGACGAACCUCUGUAAUCAGUGCCAAAGCAUCCUGUGUGCUUUAGAUCUCUACAUUCUACAAUUCGCCAUGAAGUUUCUCCUGGAUACCUACUGGUCUUUGUUAGUAGGAAAUACAAAAUGAAAAUGAAAAAACACCUGGACAGACAUUUAAUUGGCAGAGAAGGUUGAGAAGUUAAGAUGUGGUAGAAGGGAAAGAGGUCUGCAUUUGGAAUUAGCAGAACUGGUCUUGAAUCUUUUCUCUGUCAGAUACUACCUGUAUGACCUUAGUUUUCCUCAACUUCCUCUACUGGGAGUCUUUCUUUUAUAUGUACAGAGGCAGAGUUGGAAGGGCCUUAGAUGUGCCUGAAUUGGACAACCCAUCUCUAAUUUUAUAAUGGAAUUUGUUAGAGUAAAUGUGGUUCAUUUUAUAAAAAUUUGCUAAAGAGCCAUCUUGGUUGGAAUGUGUCUUCUCAGCAAAGCAGGCAGGUAUCUGUAUAAUAUCUAACAAAGCAUGCACAUUGGUAGAGAGUAGGGGAAGAGGGUACCAAAUCUAGUUAUGGGUUAAUUGGAGACAUAGCUUUUUGAAUUGGAAAGUUAACUGAAUGACUAAUCUGUUCUUCCUAGGUUACUGUUUUGGUAGGACACAAAGUCAUUUCCUUGUUCAGGGGAAGCACCUCUCACCUUUAAAGUAGGCACAGCUCAUCUGAGGAAUCCUUUCCUGGACACCCUGGACAACUGUCAACAACUACCUGAAUAUAUCAAAUGCUUUCAACUGAUCCUAUUGGCUCAGGAGGGAUCUAUCUUCUUUGGCUCAGAUUGGAGCAUGACAAGAAUAUUUCUCAGCAGUAAGGAACAUGGCUUGAAGAUAGAAGAAUGAGACAGCAGGAAGAGUACUGAAUUACUGAGCUUGGCAUCAGAGGACCAGGGUUUGAAUCUCAGCUUGGCCAUUCCCUCUGGUGUGACUUUGAACAAGUCACUCUCUCAUCAUUAAAAAAAGUAUAUAUUUCAUUAAAUACUCCCAAUUACAUGAAAAUUUUAAAACAUAAAAUUAAAAAAAUGGAAUCUCACAUUUUCACUCUCCCUUUCCUACCCCUCAAUAAGGUAAGCAAUAUAUUAAUUAUACACUGAAGUCAUGCAAAACAUAACUCCAUAUUAGCCAUGUUGCAAAAGAAAACAUGUACAAAAAUCCAGGAAAAAUAAAGUUAAAAAGUAUGUUUCAAUCUAUCCUCAGAGUUCAUCUGUUUUCUAUCUGAAGGUGUAGAGCAUUUUUCAUCAUGUGUCCUUUGGAAUUGUCUUGGAUCAUUGUGUUGAUCAAAAUAGCUAACUCUUUCAUUUGGUUAUUCAUCUUUAUAAUAUCGUUAUAACUAUGUACAAUGUCUCCCCACCCUUUCUGCUCACCUCAUUUUGCAUCAGUUCAUAAAAAUCUUCCCAGGUUUUCCUGAAGCUAUCCUGCUCAUUUUCUAUAGCACAAUAGUAUUCCAUCAUGAUCAUAUAUCACAUUCGCAUCUCCUUGACUUCCAGUUCUCUGCUCAAAAGGCCCUUAUUUUUUAAAAAUCUCUUCGGGACCUAGACUUAGUAGUGUUUUUUUCUAGGUCAAAGCAUAUGUCCAUUUUGAUAACCUUUCGGAUCAAGCUCCAAGUUGUUCUUACAUAUCAUCAAAUAUGUGCCAGACACAGUGUUAAGCAAUUUAUAAAUAUUAUUUCACUCAAUUCUUUAAACAAACCUGGGAGGUAAGUGCUGUUGUUAUCCUCAAUUUACAGGUCAGGAAACUGAGACAACUAGAGGGUGGCAAGUGAGUGUCCUAUGUUCCAAUCAAUCUGUUCUCGGACACUUUCUGACUUCAGACUCAGGCCUCUAUCCACUGUGUUACUUAAUUCAGUGAUCUUAUAUAAUAAGUGCUAUAUAAAAUUAUGUAAAUAAACAUGUUAUAUAUAAUAAUAUACAAUAUAAAUAAAUAAAUAAAAUAAAAGAUAUCAUAAGGUACCUUAUGGUAUAGGUAUUUUAAUUCUUCUCUUGGUCACUUAGAAAAGAAACCACACUAUUUAUUAGUUAGUCUUUCAGAAUGUAAACUGCUCAAAGGACUAACUUAUGUGGGCAGCUAGAUGGCUUAGUGAAGGGAAAGCCAAGCUUAGAGAUGGGAGGUCCUGGGUUCAAAUAUGACCUCAGACACUUCCUAGCUGUGUGACCCUGGUCAAGUCAUUCCUACUCUGCUUUGGUUUUAUUAUCUGUAAAAUGAGGAUAAUAAAACCACUUAUCUCCCAGGGUAAUGAUGUGAGGUUCAAAUAAUAUAGUAAUU
Monodelphis domestica (gray short-tailed opossum) is the source of this 2512-nucleotide long non-coding RNA. RefSeq lists it as uncharacterized. The record is from RefSeq and is a predicted model, not a curated record. Lineage: Eukaryota; Metazoa; Chordata; Mammalia; Didelphimorphia; Didelphidae.